AGAGUUUGAUCAUGGCUCAGAUUGAACGCUGGCGGCAUGCCUUACACAUGCAAGUCGAACGGCAGCACGGGAGCAAUCCUGGUGGCGAGUGGCGAACGGGUGAGUAAUAUAUCGGAACGUGCCCAGUAGUGGGGGAUAGCCCGGCGAAAGCCGGAUUAAUACCGCAUACGACCUGUGGGUGAAAGCGGGGGAUCGCAAGACCUCGCGCUAUUGGAGCGGCCGAUAUCAGAUUAGCUUGUUGGUGGGGUAAAAGCCCACCAAGGCGACGAUCUGUAGCUGGUCUGAGAGGACGACCAGCCACACUGGGACUGAGACACGGCCCAGACUCCUACGGGAGGCAGCAGUGGGGAAUUUUGGACAAUGGGCGCAAGCCUGAUCCAGCCAUGCCGCGUGUGGGAAGAGGGCCUUCGGGUUGUAAAGCCCUUUCGACAGGGACGAUGAUGACGGUACCUGUAGAAGAAGCCCCGGCUAACUUCGUGCCAGCAGCCGCGGUAAUACGG
This 500-nucleotide ribosomal RNA is filed under the name uncultured bacterium. RNAcentral's name for it is "bacterial SSU rRNA". It matches the Rfam family "Bacterial small subunit ribosomal RNA", at positions 8 to 528 of the family's 1533-position model. The record is from RNAcentral.